This 484-nucleotide ribosomal RNA is filed under the name uncultured bacterium. RNAcentral describes it as "partial 16S ribosomal RNA". It matches the Rfam family "Bacterial small subunit ribosomal RNA", at positions 30 to 507 of the family's 1533-position model. The record is from RNAcentral.
AUUGAACGCUGGCGGCAGGCCUAACACAUGCAAGUCGAGCGGAUGAAGGGAGCUUGCUCCUGGAUUCAGCGGCGGACGGGUGGGUAAUGCCUAGGAAUCUGCCUGGUAGUGGGGGAUAACGUCCGGAAACGGGCGCUAAUACCGCAUACGUCCUGAGGGAGAAAGUGGGGGAUCUUCGGACCUCACGCUAUCAGAUGAGCCUAGGUCGGAUUAGCUAGUUGGUGGGGUAAAGGCCUACCAAGGCGACGAUCCGUAACUGGUCUGAGAGGAUGAUCAGUCACACUGGAACUGAGACACGGUCCAGACUCCUACGGGAGGCAGCAGUGGGGAAUAUUGGACAAUGGGCGAAAGCCUGAUCCAGCCAUGCCGCGUGUGUGAAGAAAGUCCUCGGAUUGUAAAGCACUUUAAGUUGGGAGGAAGGGCAGUAAGUUAAUACCUUGCUGUUUUGACGUUACCAACAGAAUAAGCACCGGCUAACUUCGUG